RNAcentral lists this unclassified non-coding RNA (674 nucleotides) under Hevea brasiliensis (rubber tree). The record is from RNAcentral. Lineage: Eukaryota; Viridiplantae; Streptophyta; Magnoliopsida; Malpighiales; Euphorbiaceae.
GGUGCGUGAGUACUCAUCAACCUGAACAAGAAACCAAAUGAGAUAAGAGAUGCAAUAACAUGUAGAAAUGCAAAGCAUAUUGUAUUGGAAAUGGUGCAUGUGCAACUUUGCAAUGCCAUAUGGUGUACAGUAACUUGCAAAUAGAGUAAAAAAAAUCCAUUAGAAAAAAUGAUGACAACAAUAAAGAUAACCAACAAAUAUGAUCUCCAUGCAGCUGGAUAACUUGAUCAGUUGCUUCCAAUACCACAACUGAAUCAAGUUUCCGUGUAUAAGCACAGGACCGCAUCAAAGGUCUCAUGCUUUUGCUAAAAGUUUAAAAUCAGGGUAGUGAUCAAUGUGGUUGUGAUAUCUAUCUGCAAAAUCGUUUAAUAACUCACAGAACCUCCACAGGUUCACCAUUCAUGGGCAUCCAGCACACACGUAUAUCAUAACUACAAUAUGAUCAAAACAUUCAUAAGCCUUUCACAUACACUUCCCACUUUGUUGCAGAACAAAAGAUUUCAACAGCUCAUCCAUUGAGAAAAAAAAUUCUAUCCUUAGGAAGCCAAAACAAAUUAAAGACAUGACUAGAGUCUAGAAGACAAAAGCUAGUGUUGAAAUUUACAUCUCUUGAUGUGUACUCUAUCAUAAAUAGAAAUCAAAUCCUACUGACCUUAAUAGCUCCAGUACUAUCA